AAUUCUCUGGUAAAUGAAGAGGGGUCAGGUCGCAUGCUUAGUCUCGGUCUUUGGAGUGGGAUGCGGGUUCGGUUCGCGUGCCGUGCUCCCACCUGUUCGCACCUCUAUUGCUGUCCGCAAUUCCUGCUCUUCAAAGCCGAUCGCUGGCCUCCGAGACUGUGGGAGCCGGCGCCAAAGACGCACGCAAUCGGGCGCGCGCACGCUCACACGGAUAUGCGCAGGCUCACAUUCAGACGCGCGGUGGACGUGGCUUUAUUACGGACGCAGACAGACGGGUCAGGAGCAGGGACCCGAGGGGAGGCAGGAGGACAGCGAGGGCGUAGGCGUCGGUACGAGGCUGAAGAGUGCACGGCGGCCAGUAGAAGGCCUGCCACCUCGAGGCCGAGCAGCGUGGGAUCGUGGAGGUUGAGCAGUUCCCUCAGCGCGAGCAGCACCGGCGCGCAGUGAGCGCUCUCCUCCAGGCCCUGAACACAUUGGGGCAGGGGUUUCCAGCCGCCCUCGGCUCUACCCGACUACUGAGAUUCUCGACUGUCUGUCUGCCCUCCCGACGAGCUCUCACCAAACCCAGGAAAAGCUCCUUGAGCUGGGCAGCAUCGUGCCGAAGGCGCUCAGCCGCCUGGGUCCGCUCGUCCACACCGCGGCACACGAGGCGGCCCUGCAUCAGCGCGCGUAGGUAUUGCAACACCACAGUUCGUUCCGCCUCCGCCAGCAGCAGCUGCAGGACAGUUCUUCCAAUACCAGGCGGCAGAUCCUCCUCUGUACGUCAUCCAACGCGGAUUCUAUUGGAGCCAAGACCCCUGAAGCGUCUCCGUCGGGCAGCAGGACAGGUAACGAAGAGCUGAGCCAACCAAAAGUACGACUUCAGGACCAAGGCCAAGGCUCGCACGGGCCUCAAGGAAUCAUCCAUUCUGGCGCCACCUUGUGGUGCAAAGUGUGUGGUGGGAGCGGGGGCGGGAAGGGUGGCUGUGAGCUUAUGGAGGUCUCCGGUAUUCUGAAGGGCUAGGAAGGGCAUACCCAGAGGUAUGCCUCUAAGGUAACCUCGAGUUAAGUCAUUCUUCCUGUUACUUCGUUUCCUCAUCGGUAAGGGAGUGGAGCUAAUUUAGUCAAGAGGGAGUUAAAAAGCAUCAGCUUGUAUGUCUGUCUGUCCUUGUGCCUGCCACAAAGAGCAUAAUACUCAAGAAGACAGCCAGGCCUGGUGGAGGCUGAAGAUGGAAGAUUGCUACCAGUUUGAGGCCAGCCCGGACCACAGAGUGAAACUCUUGUCUCAAAGUAGGAGGAGCAGAGGGAAAUUUUCUUGUUCAUCGCUGUAACUUCACACAUUAUCUGAUGCAGAGUAAAGCCUUGAUAAAUAUUUGCUGAAA
Peromyscus eremicus (cactus mouse) is the source of this 1361-nucleotide long non-coding RNA. RefSeq lists it as uncharacterized. The record is from RefSeq and is a predicted model, not a curated record. Lineage: Eukaryota; Metazoa; Chordata; Mammalia; Rodentia; Cricetidae. The transcript has 4 exons.